RNAcentral lists this ribosomal RNA (163 nucleotides) under Clonostachys rosea. Its description in RNAcentral is "partial small subunit ribosomal RNA". It matches the Rfam family "Eukaryotic small subunit ribosomal RNA", at positions 1639 to 1799 of the family's 1831-position model. Lineage: Eukaryota; Fungi; Ascomycota; Sordariomycetes; Hypocreales; Bionectriaceae. The record is from RNAcentral.
CGUUGAUUACGUCCCUGCCCUUUGUACACACCGCCCGUCGCUACUACCGAUUGAAUGGCUCAGUGAGGCGUCCGGACUGGCCCAGAGAGGAGGGAAACCACCACUCAGGGCCGGAAAGCUCUCCAAACUCGGCCAUUUAGAGGAAGUAAAAGUCGUAACAAGG